UACGUAGGGUGCAAGCGUUAAUCGGAAUUACUGGGCGUAAAGCGUGCGCAGGCGGCUUUGCAAGACAGAUGUGAAAUCCCCGGGCUUAACCUGGGAAUGGCAUUGGUGACUGCACGGCUAGAGUGUGUCAGAGGGGGGUAGAAUUCCACGUGUAGCAGUGAAAUGCGUAGAGAUGUGGAGGAAGACCGAUGGCGAAGGCAGCCCCCUGGGAUAACACUGACGCUCAUGCACGAAAGCGUGGGGAGCAAACAGG
RNAcentral lists this ribosomal RNA (253 nucleotides) under uncultured bacterium. RNAcentral's name for it is "partial 16S ribosomal RNA". It matches the Rfam family "Bacterial small subunit ribosomal RNA", at positions 524 to 776 of the family's 1533-position model. The record is from RNAcentral.